RNAcentral lists this non-coding RNA (27 nucleotides) under Rattus norvegicus (Norway rat). The record is from RNAcentral. Lineage: Eukaryota; Metazoa; Chordata; Mammalia; Rodentia; Muridae.
UGCUAGGUUAGCUAGGAGGAGGGAGAC